CCUACGGGUGGCAGCAGUGAGGAAUAUUGGUCAAUGGACGCAAGUCUGAACAAGCCAUGCCGCGUUCAGGAAGACGGCUCUAUGAGUUGUCAACUGCUUUUGUACGAGGGUAAACGCAGAUUCGCGUAUCUGUCUGAAAGUAUCGUACGAAUAAGGAUCGGCUAACUCCGUGCCAGCAGCCGCGGUAAUACGGAGGAUUGAAGCGUUAUCCGGAUGUAUUGGGUUUACAGGGUGCGUAGGCGUUCGGAUAAGUUAGAGGUGAAAUACAGAGGCUCAACUUCGGAAUUGGCUCUGAUACUGUUCGGCGAGCGAGUAGUUGCGGUAGGCGGAAUGUAUGGUGUAGCGGUGAAAUGCUUAGAGAUCACGCAGAACCCCGAUUGCGAAGGCAGCAUGCCGGCUUCCGACUGACGCUGAAGCACGAAAGCGUGGGGAUCGAACAGGAUUAGAUACCCCUGUAGUC
RNAcentral lists this ribosomal RNA (460 nucleotides) under uncultured bacterium. Its description in RNAcentral is "partial 16S ribosomal RNA". It matches the Rfam family "Bacterial small subunit ribosomal RNA", at positions 338 to 795 of the family's 1533-position model. The record is from RNAcentral.